AGUGAACGCUGGCGGUAGGCCUAACACAUGCAAGUCGAACGGCAGCACAGUAAGAGCUUGCUCUUACGGGUGGCGAGUGGCGGACGGGUGAGGAAUACAUCGGAAUCUACUUUUUCGUGGGGGAUAACGUAGGGAAACUUACGCUAAUAUCGCAUACGACCUACGGGUGAAAGCAGGGGAUCUUCGGACCUUGCGCGAUUGAAUGAGCCGAUGUCGGAUUAGCUAGUUGGCGGGGUAAAGGCCCACCAAGGCGACGAUCCGUAGCUGGUCUGAGAGGAUGAUCAGCCACACUGGAACUGAGACACGGUCCAGACUCCUACGGGAGGCAGCAGUGGGGAAUAUUGGACAAUGGGCGCAAGCCUGAUCCAGCCAUACCGCGUGGGUGAAGAAGGCCUUCGGGUUGUAAAGCCCUUUUGUUGGGAAAGAAAAGCAGCAGGUUAAUACCGCGCUUUUCUGACGGUACCCAAAGAAUAAGCACCGGCUAACUUCGUG
Molecule: ribosomal RNA, 492 nt
Filed under: uncultured bacterium
Lineage: Bacteria
Description: partial 16S ribosomal RNA
Rfam family: Bacterial small subunit ribosomal RNA
Source: RNAcentral